This 239-nucleotide long non-coding RNA is filed under the name Theobroma cacao (cacao). RNAcentral describes it as "long non-coding RNA (TCAC_LNC002504)". The record is from RNAcentral. Lineage: Eukaryota; Viridiplantae; Streptophyta; Magnoliopsida; Malvales; Malvaceae.
UUGCGAGGUUUCGAUCGACAUUCCAGGCGAUGAAUGUCUAUCGGGACAUCGCAGUGAUUGUCACGGGCUCGAGGAGAGUACCGGGUCGUGACAUUAACUUUGUUGGUCCCUAUAACAUGUGCUAGAGGGGGGUGAAUAGCACAAUUUGGCUCUUAACAAUAUUGGAAACUAAUUUCCAGAACUGAAGAAAAUAAAAAUAGAGUACAAGAUGCACAACAAUUUAGAGUGGUUCAGUCCAA